UCUGUAGGUGAAACCUGCGGAGGGAUCAUUACCGAGUUUACAACUCCCAAACCCAAUGUGAACGUUACCAAACUGUUGCCUCGGCGGGAUCUCUGCCCCGGGUGCGUCGCAGCCCCGGACCAAGGCGCCCGCCGGAGGACCAACCAAAACUCUUAUUGUAUACCCCCUCGCGGGUUUUUUUAUAAUCUGAGCCUUCUCGGCGCCUCUCGUAGGCGUUUCGAAAAUGAAUCAAAACUUUCAACAACGGAUCUCUUGGUUCUGGCAUCGAUGAAGAACGCAGCGAAAUGCGAUAAGUAAUGUGAAUUGCAGAAUUCAGUGAAUCAUCGAAUCUUUGAACGCACAUUGCGCCCGCCAGUAUUCUGGCGGGCAUGCCUGUCCGAGCGUCAUUUCAACCCUCGAACCCCUCCGGGGGGUCGGCGUUGGGGAUCGGCCCUGCCUUGGCGGUGGCCGUCUCCGAAAUACAGUGGCGGUCUCGCCGCAGCCUCUCCUGCGCAGUAGUUUGCACACUCGCAUCGGGAGCGCGGCGCGUCCACAGCCGUUAAACACCCAACUUCUGAAAUGUUGACCUCGGAUCA
RNAcentral lists this ribosomal RNA (575 nucleotides) under Trichoderma harzianum. RNAcentral's name for it is "eukaryotic LSU rRNA". The stretch from base 233 to 386 matches the Rfam family "5.8S ribosomal RNA". Lineage: Eukaryota; Fungi; Ascomycota; Sordariomycetes; Hypocreales; Hypocreaceae. The record is from RNAcentral.